RNAcentral lists this transfer RNA (70 nucleotides) under Lepidophyma flavimaculatum (yellow-spotted night lizard). RNAcentral's name for it is "tRNA-Arg". Lineage: Eukaryota; Metazoa; Chordata; Lepidosauria; Squamata; Xantusiidae. The record is from RNAcentral.
CAGUAGCUAGUCCAACUAGGACGACUAAUUUCGGCUUAGAAAAUCCAAACUUUAACCUUUGGGCUACUAA